CUGGCAAUUUUGGAAAUUGAAGUCUUCUGCUCAUCCACAAAAUAGGUACAGCAUGGGCAGCAAAAGUGAAAAUGUUCCCACAAUGUCCUGCCAGCAUUCCUCGACUUGGACAUUGUGGGAACAUUUUCCUCGACUUAUCUCCAGAGGAAAUGAGUGCUUCAUUCCCUAUUCCCUUCAGUUCUUGGCCUCU
This 190-nucleotide small RNA is filed under the name Chrysemys picta bellii (western painted turtle). Its description in RNAcentral is "TUC338 (ENSCPBG00000002483.1)". The record is from RNAcentral. Lineage: Eukaryota; Metazoa; Chordata; Testudines; Emydidae.